GUUCACUGAAUGUUCCUGGGUCUGCUGUUCCUAAGAAUCUUCAAUACGUUUACAUCGUUGUCAUCUUCAAGAGUGAGAUCUGUAAGUUAGCUGCAGACAAACUCAUCUGACCAUGGGACACCUUUAUUCAUGGGCUAGUUCUUUGGAUUAUUAUUCAUUCCAGUGCACUUUUAGAAUCUGUGUAAUAAAGU
This 191-nucleotide long non-coding RNA is filed under the name Mustela putorius furo (domestic ferret). RNAcentral describes it as "lncRNA (ENSMPUG00000028267.1)". The record is from RNAcentral. Lineage: Eukaryota; Metazoa; Chordata; Mammalia; Carnivora; Mustelidae.